GUGCCAGCCGCUGCGGUAAUACAUAGGUGGCAAGCGUUGUCCGGAUUUAUUGGGCGUAAAGGGAACGCAGGCGGUUUUAAGCUGAUGUGAAAGCCUUCGGCUUAACCGAAGAAUAGCAUUGGAAACUGGAAGACUUGAGUGCAGAAGAGGAGAGUGGAAUUCCAUGUGUAGCGGUGAAAUGCGUAGAUAUAUGGAGGAACACCAGUGGCGAAAGCGGCUCUCUGGUCUGUAACUGACGCUGAGAUUCGAAAGCGUGGGUAGCAAACAGGAUUAGAUACCCUGGUAGUCCACGCCGUAACGAUGAAUGCUAAGUGUUGAGGUUUCGCCUUCAGUGCUGCAGCUAACGCAAUAAGCAUUCCGCCUGGGGAUACGACCGCAA
Molecule: ribosomal RNA, 379 nt
Filed under: uncultured Lactobacillus sp.
Lineage: Bacteria; Bacillati; Bacillota; Bacilli; Lactobacillales; Lactobacillaceae
Description: bacterial SSU rRNA
Rfam family: Bacterial small subunit ribosomal RNA
Source: RNAcentral